CCGGCGCGAGCUUGCACGGGGCGAGGAGGGGGCAGCCCCGCGACCCAGCCACGCCGGGAAGCAGGAGACGGGACAGCUGCUGGGCCUUGCUCCACCUGCGCCCCGUCCCCAGCUCUCACGAAACGCAGACUCGGACUUCUGUGGAUUCGAGGGUGCACAUCUUGGCGAUUCCCGGUCAGGGAGGAAGGAGGAAAGAAUUCAAAGGUCUCAGCCUUCUCUACAGUAUGUGGGGCAAGUAAGGGGAACUAAAACACACCCAAGGCCUGGGUCCCUUUUUCUGUCCUCAAAAUGCACCAGUUAACAAGUUAGAGAGAAAGAAAGGGCUGUGUUCUUUGUAUGCAGAAACACCACCCUGCAGAGUGAAAAUUCAGCUCUGUAAAGCUCCUCUAAAGAAAAGAAGCAGCAGCAACAGCAGCAGCAAAGACGGCACCCUGGGCGGAGUCUGGCGAUGAUGAUCUCCAGGGCUGGCCACCGUGGCGAGGAAGGCAUGGACCGUGAAGCCAGUCUGUCCUGGAAUGGAAUUGGCCCUGGCAGGGAGCUUGGGGAAGUCGGCUGAUGUUUCUGGGCCUCAAUGGCUCCAUCUGGAGAAUGGGGUACCGGAGCCUCAUUGCAGCACAGCUGUGGGUACUAGAGAUGUGUUUGUGCAAGAGUUUGUACCCGGGGGCCCUGAGAGGUGUUUUACAAAUCCAGAGCCUUCACCCAUGGGUGCAGGGCACUACCCCAGAUAGAAUUUCAUCCCGGCAGACUGCUCCUGAGCACAAAUAUAUUCUGAAACCUCUGGAAGGGAGCUAAUCACUUUGGAAGUCACAGAGCCUCUGUUCAUGUUAUCAGAGGAGCCUGAAAAAAAAAAAAUGAGGCCCCGGGGAAUGGCAGAGAAUUUUCUAUUUCUUUUCAAAUGGCAAAUUUAUACAUAUGAAAAGUUUAAAAUGACAUGCCAAAUAAAUCACAAGUAGUCAUAAUUGAGCCAGCCACUUUUAUUAUGAAACAAUAAAAUGUGUGAAGUCAGUAGGAUGGAGGGAGAUGGGGGCCAUGUGGCCCUCGUGCAAUUAGGGGGCUGGUAUUUCCUUAAUAGCCUAAGUUGGCAUGGCACGUCGCUUGCCUUGUGGCUUGGAUAACGCAGAACUGGCUGUUUCCAUCGCAGAAAGAGGGUCCAUUUGCUGUUAAGAAUCCUAGGAUAUAUCUAGGAAAAUUCCACUCCCAGAGACUUUAUCAAAUCUCCUUCCUAACAUGUGGGCAGGUGAUUGUCUAAACCACUGAGGAAUGGUGCCGGAGGUAAACAGCUAAUUAAUUAAAGAAAACCUCCCUCUGCACCCUGACUCUGCAAACGCCCUGUGACUGAGACAUGCACACACACACACACACACACACACACUCACACACACACGCGCGCGCAAAUGGUCUCACACACACACAUUGUUAACAAGGCUUGCAGGUGACCGAAUCCUCUAGUCCACCUGUCUCUGCUAAUUCAAGUGAACAAACCUGAAAGCCCAUUACCCUUCCCUCCAAGGCUGUGUGACCUCAACCCCUACACUCUUCUAAGCAACAUUCACUUUAACUUAAUAUUCUGGUGCUUUCGGGAACAACAUUUAAAAAUAAACCAUUUUGGCACAUUGUCAAAGUCUUGUCUACAUUCCUUCAUGACAACCACCCUCAGUGAGAUUUUACAAACCAAAGGGAGUUGGGGGCAGGGAGAAAGGAGUCCCUCAUUUAGA
Molecule: non-coding RNA, 1715 nt
Organism: Microcebus murinus (gray mouse lemur)
Lineage: Eukaryota; Metazoa; Chordata; Mammalia; Primates; Cheirogaleidae
Source: RefSeq, a predicted model, not a curated record